Molecule: long non-coding RNA, 8360 nt
Filed under: Ananas comosus (pineapple)
Lineage: Eukaryota; Viridiplantae; Streptophyta; Magnoliopsida; Poales; Bromeliaceae
Description: long non-coding RNA (ACOM_LNC017365)
Source: RNAcentral
AGUACGCUGCUCUCUCCGCAUUCGGCGGGUCCCCGUUGACGGCGCGUGAGGGGAGCUGGCGGGGCUCACCGUGGUUCCUGCACGCGGUCCACGACUCAUGGUGGACCGGGUGAGGGAGGGGGGUAGUGGACCCCGGCUGUGGGAGAGGGGGUGGUGGGCCCCUCUCUCGGUCUCUCCCUUUUCGAUCACGUGUGUGUGUGUAGAGUAGAGCUAGAAUACUUGUAAAAGUAUCACCCAAGUGAUACUUGUGUGUUUUUAGCCCUUGGAUGGAGAGAUGUGAGGUUGAGAUGAUGGUGGUAGGUGGUGGUAGGUGGAAUAGUGUUUGAUUCAAGGACUAUUAGUAAUCAAAAAGUAGAUCCAAUGGCUAAAAACACACAUGUAUCACUUGGGUGAUACUUGUAAAAGUAUUCUAGCCCUACUCUAUAUAUAUAUAUAUAUAUCUUGGAAUUUUAGCUCUUUAUUUUUUUAGAUUUACUUUUGGACGUUAGAUUUAAUUUUUUUAAUCUAAUGCAAUGCCGCUUAGGAUUAAUUAUCUUAUUAUGUUAUCAUCUAUUUAGUUUCCUUUUCAAAUUUUCAUAUCUCUUUAUGUCAUCGCAAUAAAUUACUUAAAAUUAAUCCAUCUUAGUUUACAAAAUUUCAUAGUUGAAAAAAGUUAAAUUAAAAACUGUAAUAAAUUACUGUUGUAUUUGCUUCUCGCUGCAACGCGCGGGUUACCUUAACUAGUAUUAUAGGAUAACCCGUUAAAAGAGUAGAGUUGAUGAUAAAAUAUAACUAAUUAAUAUAUUAUUUAUUACUUUAUUUACUAAAUAACUAGAUAAAUAAUUAACCACCUGAUUAAUUACUAUAAUAAAAAUUUAAUUAACUAUUUGAGUAAUUGAUUUAUUAUUUAUUAUUAAUUAGCUAACUGAAAAAUUAAUUACUUGAUGUCUUUAUGCAAUAACUAAUAUUUAUUGAUUAACCAAUUAAUAUUUUGACCAAUCUAACUAAAUAAAUAGAUAAGUAACUAAUUAAUUUUGUUAAUUUAUUAAUUUAUUUAUAGUUAGUUAAUUUAUUAGCUAACAUUAAUAAUGAUUAAUUAAUAUAUUAAAUUAUUAUUUAAUUAAUAUGUUGAUGUUUAUUAAUUAUGUAAAACUAUAAUUUCUACUGUUUCUAUUGUUUCUAUCUGGCUAUCCAAAUACUAUUUUUUUAUUCUCGAAAAUAAUAUAAUUUUCAUCUAAAUGCAAAGUUGAUCUUAUUUCUGCUUAUUUCUGAAGUUACACAUAUUCUCAAAAUAACAAAAAAUAAGUUAUUUCUAACCUAAACGAUAAAGAGGAAAAGUAGCUUAUUUUUUGUACAAUAGGAAAGCGAAACAAAACGUUUCACUAAUUCUUUUUAGUAUUUAGAAUAAGUUGCGGGUCUUCGUUGUUACGGAAAUGUUUUCAUAUGUAACUUAAAUGGACAAAAAUAUUAAAUCUUUAAAGUAACAAGUAAUCUAAAUAGGAUUGAUAACAUUCAUUUAAACUUUUUUCUAUAAAAUAAUAUAAAAACAACUUUUUAAAUAUUAUUUAAACUUAAAUUUAUAAUAUUAUUUAUAUAUUCUCUCUGGAAUAAAUUACUUGCCUCACCAGAAACCAAAAGUGGUGAACUUGUAACAAUUUGGGAUGAGAACAGCCAAAACGGUAAUGGUAAAAAAAGGUACCAUAAACUACUACAAUGAACUCACUCUUUGCAAUCUACUGCAAAAUAACUCUUUUUAUCUUUUUUGAGAAAAAGAUAACACGCUACCCGCUUCAUUCAUUCACAGGAUGAAUUAAGCUAUAUGGGUGAGGCAGCAAGGCCUCAAGGGUGGUGAAAAAAAAAAAUUCGUGUAUUGGUUAGAGAUUCUCCCACAGAGACAUCAACUGCUUGAUUUUGUGUAAACCACCUAAGGGGUCCACCUGUGCCCUUCUAAAAAUCACUACUUUCCUGCUCUCCCGUAUAACCCACCAGCAGACUAUUAAUCCAAUAAGACCAUUGCUCGUGGGUAGUGUCCCCUGCCGACCUUUCCACCUAUCCCAUACCAGUUGAACGUCGUCACUCAAGUCCUCUAAUUCGACGUCCUCCAGUGACUCCACCAGAAGAAAUCGAAAAAACACACACUGAGAGAAAAGAUGAUCCACAGUUUCCACUUCGAACCCACACAACACGCAAGUUGUGUUGUUAGCCCAUCCUCUUUUUAACAGGUUAUCCGCAGUAAAGUGUCUCUUCCUGAGGACGAGCCAUCAGAAUACUUUCACUUUAAGAGGAAUACGACUCCAGAUCCCCUUAGAGCGGUAGUCUCUCGUGCCCCCAUCGCACAGCGCAUAGUGCAGCGUAUGUAGAUUUUACAGUGAACCGCCCGUGGGUGCUCCACCACCAAACCACACUGUCCGCUCCUUGGCCAAUUCUGUAAUUAGAGAUCCUUUCUUUAAGAGCCGAUAUGCAUAUAUUUAUCCUGCAUGUGGUCUUGAACUUUAUUUAUGUAGUCCUUGAACUUUAUCUCUAUUACACAUAACAGCUUUGGCCAUUGAAACCUUUUGGAGGACUCUUUUGGCAUUUAGCCUUCUCAAAUAUUUCUUUUUCACAAAUAGCUCCUAUAAAAUUAUAUUUAUAUGAAUAACUCUCUUCUUAUCCACACGAAUGCCACGUUGGAUAGAAAAGGCCACUAGAAAUUUUAAGUUGAAUACAGUAACUCAUUUAUUGUGUUGUAGUACACAAUAAUUCCAGCAUGGCACUUGUGAGGAGAAGGAGAGGGCCACUCCUAAAAUUAUAACUUGUAAAAGCUAUUUGCAAUUUUUUUUUUCUGGAGGCUAAAUGUUAAAAAGCUAUUUUCUGAACAUGAAAAUAAACUAUUUAGACAUAAUUUACUCAGCACAAAAAAAAAAUUCAUAUGAUUGGAAGUUAAAAAAAUUUAGUUAUAAUAUAUUCUUUUUAGAAAAUUUUAUUAUGUGAUUAAAAGUUGAGAGUUUAAUUUUUGCUAUUUGAAAGGUUUUAAUAUUUAUGAUUUGGUUGGAUAGUAUGUAUUAUUUACAAGGCGAUUUAUUUUUAUUAUGUAAAAAUAACUUAAAUAUUUAAUAUGAUCUUGUACUCUAAAAGUUGAUAAUAUUUUUUAUCUAUCAAAUAUUACAGAUUUUUUGAAUAAAUUAAAAAAUAUGUCACAUAAUAAAAUAUUUAUACAUCCAAAUAAGUAUAAAACAAUAUUCUAAAAUUAAUGAUAAUAAUAAUAAUAGUUUCGCGGCCAGAGGUUAUAUUUUUUUUUUAUAUAUGAGAGAAUAUUUAGGGACUAAAGCAUCUAACUUGAAAUACUAUGUUCACAAUCGAAGGAGGGAUUGUAAUCUGAAUGUUAUAAUCUUCCCACCUUGGGUUUUAAAAAACUUUUUUGGAUUUUAAUAAUAAAAAAGCUAAAUUACAAAAAAAAAUUCUGUCAAAACUUGAUUUUUCACUUUCCUCCCCUGUCAUUUAAAAAUCUACCCCCUUAUAAAAUGAAAAAUGUUCACAAGGGGUACGGUCUGAACUGUGAUGAUAAAAUGACCAUUUUGCCUCUCAUCAUUUUGCCCCUCAUCAUGUUCACAGGAGAGUACGUUGAGGGCAUUUUUAGCAUAAAAUAUAUAUAUAAUAAUAUUUUAUAAACGGAACCCUAACGGAUUACUAACAACAGAGGCGAAGUGAACAUUUUUCAUUUUAUAAGGAGGCAAAGUGUAGGUUUUUAAAUGACAAGAAGAAAAGUGAAAAAUCAAAUUUUAACAGGAAACUUUUAUAUAAUUUAGCCUAAUAAGAAAGAGUGAUAAUUAUCACUCAUAGAAUAAUAUACACCCUUUCGAUGAUAAGGGUUGUGUGAUAGCAACUAAAAUUUGGUUAUAAACUUAGCAUUUCUCAACUUGAAAAUUUUCCAACGGUGCUCUUCACUUAAAUAUUUGAUUCUAUAUAUUAAAAUCAAAAGUGUGAUAGGGUUGCACGAUUUACCAACUCAUUCUUAGCUUUUAGUUAAAAAAUAGAAAUGUGAUCAGACAAGUAAGAGAAACAUAUUUUUGAUUUUUGAAUAACGUGAAUUGAAGGAUUGUAACCCGAAGUGGGUUGUAGACCUAGCUCUACUUAUUUACUUCUUAUUGAUAGUUAAAAAUAACAUUUUUCAAAAAAAAUUUGGCUAAAAUAUAGAAAACCUUCUAUAAAUGUCUGUGUUUUCACUUUUUCUAAUUGAUUUGUAAAAACUCUAUAUUUUAUUAUCUUAAAAUUUUAAGUUGAUUCAUUUAGCCCGCCUUCAUUAGCGUCCAUCAUUAUUCCGUCCAAUUCUUAUAAUUUUUAUUUAAAAUUUUCUUAAAAAUAACAUAAAUAUAUUUAAAAACUAUUAUUUUUCUUUUGCAGAACAAAUAAGGGCAAUUUGAUUAUUUCGUCUUCUUUAUUAACGCCGUAACAUUUCUGAAAAUAUUUCUAAAAUUUUAAGAAAAAAAAUAAAAAUUUUUGAAAGUUAGAAAAAAUUUUUAAAAAUAAAUAUUUACAGAAAGUUUCUGCAUAUAUAAAAGCAAAUUUUUUUUAUUAGUUUUAAUUUUUAUAAAAUUGGACCAUAUUUUUAGAUUGGGUUAAUUGCAUACAACACCCUAUAAAUAUAUCGAAUAGCAGGCAUAUAUUCCUAUAAAGUUUAAUUUUUUAUUGUUACCCUUGCAAAAGCCUAGUGAUAUCCAUAUUUGUUGCUCUGGUUUGUUAUUGUUAGAGGACUUUUUAUUUUUUAACAGGAGUCCGACUACUAUACUAUCGAUAAUACUAAGCUCUUGAUACUAUUGAGUUUUCUACCGUCAGAUCUAUCCUUUUAUCAUUUCCACCCAUUAGAUUAUACUAUUAAACCAACCACCCACUCAACCCUAGGAGAUCAUUAUCAUCAUAACCACUCAUCUUUUCAUCAAACGGCCGAAAACUCAAUAGUACUAAGGGCUUGGUACUAUUGAUAGUAUAGUAGCAUAAUUCUUUUUAACAGUAAAUAAGAAAAAGAUAUUUUUGCUUUUAUAAAUAUAUCUCUCUAAAAGCCCAUUAUGCAGAAAUGUCCUCUAAAAAAUAUUUUUAUUCAAUAACAUAAAAAGGGUAAAAACAUCAAUUUAAUCUAUCCAGUAAGCCGGAUUAAAUAUUUUACUUAUAAUUAACUGUAUGAUGGUAACAACGUAGGGAUAUUUGAAAAUGGUAGGACUUUUGUAGGGAUAACUAUAAAAAAUUAAACUUUUAUAGGGAUAUAUCUAUUAUUUGAUUUGUUUACAGAGAGUUGUAUGCAAUUAAUGUGAGACCUAGAUAGUUCUAUAUAGGGUUAAAACUCUUAACCCGGCUUAAACAUUUUGGUGGUGACUAAGCUCAAGAAGUUAAGAGAGUUAAGUAUGUUAUGAUGGAAGUAGUCGGGUGACCCCCCGGAAAGUUAGGGCGUCACAGUUGGUAUUAGAGAUAAUUACUGGCCGAAAAUGUGAAAUGAGCCUCGCGGUGAGCCAGAAUUAUAUAACGGGGAGAGCGAGGCUCUUAUAUUGUUGACUGUUGUGGGUGGACCGCAGCUCAUCACAAGAUCGAUUUAGGCUAGCGAGACGAAUCUCUAGGGGUGGAAUUAAUUUCAAAUUCGACUUGAAAUUAAUUUCGACCUUAAAUUUAAGCUCAAGCUUAGAUUGAAAUUAAUUCGAGCCGAGCUCGAGCAAGCCUAAUUUCGAGUCGAGCGAGCUCGAGCCCUAAACGAGUCGCUUGAAAUUUCCAAUAUCAUACGAUCAAUAAUUUAAUUUGUAUACAAUAUUAUCUAUAAUUUGAUACAAAAAUAUGUCUAAUAGUUCAAAGUAUAAAAUAAUUAUAUAAAAUAUAGUAUUAUAACUAGUGUAGGGCCCGUGCUUUGCGGCGGGUAAAUAAUAUUUUAUCAAAUUUAAAUAUUUUAAUUUAUACAAAUUUUAAUAAAUAAUUUGUAGUAUUUUAGCAAAUUUAAAAAUUUAAAUUUAUACCCAAUCCAAACGGGCCCUAAGUGUAUCAAAUAUGAUACAGGGGAUUAUUUUCUGCCUAUAUAAAAAUAUAUACUAUAUCAUAUAUGUGUAAUAAUAAAUUAUCUAUAGAUGAACAUAUCAAAUCUUGGUGGCAUUGUGUAUUAAAAAUUAAUAGAAAAAUAUAAAGAAAAAAAAACCAAUUGGUUAACUUACACUAAGUUUUUAAUUGAUUAUCUUAUUCUCUAAUCAAAUGAAUAUAUUAAUUUGAUCAGAUAAAUCUACUUUUUCCAUGAAGGAUAAUGAUGUGAAUUGGCUAAAAAAAUAAAAAACUGGGACGCUAUGAAUGCAUGACAAAAAAAAAGAAAAGGAGAAUAAGGUAAUCUAAUUGGGAAAGCAAGAAAAGAAACAAUAUUAUUGACCAAAAACCUAACAAAUUUUUCACUCUACUCUAACCAAUAUUUAUAGUGUGCUUAUAAUUGUAAAUUUUUAUAACUGUUAUCUAUGAAAAAAAAAAGACAAUAUAGAAAAGAGUAAAUGAUGAAUUUAAUUUUCUUAUUUAAUUUCUAUUAGAUGAACUGCCAAACUAAAAAAAAUAUUAUUGAUAACUUUAUUUAAAGAUUCCACCCUUAGAAAAAAAAACGGUCAAAUUAAAUGUGCAUUAAUUUAGAAAUUUUUAUUUGUUUAAAGUAGAGAAUAAAGUUAAUUACUUUCGAUUACUAAUAAUGGAAGCCAAAAAGAUUAUUAUAUAUAUGACAAUAUUGGAUUAAUUAUAUGUAUUAAUUAUAUAUUAAAGUAUAGUUAUUAUUGUGAUUCAUGAAGCUAAUUACUUCGGUUACUAAUCAUGGAAGCCAAAAAGAUUAUUGACAAUAUUGGAUUAAUUAUAUGUAUUAAUUGUAUAUUAAACUAUAGUUAUUAUUGUGAUUAUAUAUUUAUAUCAGUUAUUAAUCAUUAAAUUUCUCAUUUUCUUCUUUCAAAGAGAGAAUGAAAGAUGACUUGCCACGUGGCAAAAAUUAUUCUGGCUUCAUAUAGUUUUAUAGAUAUGAAAAAAAAAUUAUGAGUUGAAUAUCUAAUCUUUUCAGCCUCACAUGUCUUUUCUUCCACCUUCAAUCUCCAUAUUAUUCAUUUUCAUUUAUGCAGUCAAAAAUAAAUAAAUUACAUAGAUAAAUAUUGGAUUAAACUAUCCAAUCAUAUAUAACUAAAAUUAAAAUUUAUUAUAUGAAUAAUAAUUUUUUACUUUAAAAAUAUUAUGUAUAUUUUCUCAAGCAUACAAUUAAUAGCAAGAUAGGCAACGGCAGCCAUAUGCUGCUACUUGGUUUCUUGGAGGGCUUCUGGCUUGGCCACAUAGGGUGAGAGACAGAAAUAGAGAAAGAGAGAAACAUAUUGAAAAUUUUAUAUAUAUAUAUAUAUAGAGUAUGGCUAGAAUACUUGUAAAAGUAUCAUGGGGGUGAUACUUAUAUGUUUUUAGUCCUUGGAUGGAGAGAUGUGAGGUUGAGAUGAUGGUAGUAGGUGGUGGUAGGUGGAAUAGUGUUUAAUUCAAAGGCUAUUAAUAAUCAAAAAGUAGAUCCAAUGGCUUAAAACCUAAUAGCACCAUAAUAGUGAUACUUGUAAAAGUAUCAUAGCUCAACUCUAUAUAUAUAUUAUAUAGUGUAGAACUAUUAUGUUAUCAAAAAUAUAGUGGAUUUGAUGUUUUUGAAAUUUUUGACCUUUUGAUUAAGAAUUGUAUGGUUGGGAUGAUUGUGGUCCCCCAUAGGAUUAAAUAAUAUCCCUAGAAUUGAGUGGUCUCUACAAGAUAAUAAUAGUAUUAAUUCAUAAAAAUGAUUAGUUGAUCUAAAAAUCAAAAAUUCGAAAGCACCAGAUCCUCUAUACUUUCGAUAGCAUAGUGUAUAUAUAUAUAUAUAUAUAUAUUAUUCGAGCUUUUCGAGCCUAAUUCGAACGAGCCAAAUAAUACUCAAACUCGGCUUGAAAUGAAUUUCGAGCCUUUGUUUUUUGUUCAAACUUGGCUCAUUUAAUUUCGAGUCGAGCUCGAGCGAGCCAAAUAUCGAGUCGAACGCGAGCCGGCUCGCUCAUUUGCCAGUCCUAUGAAUCUCACAUUGCCUAGUACUUAUGCGUCUGAAACUGACGAGAACGUCAGGACUUAAGGGAGGAAGAAUAUGAGACCCCAAAUAGUCCUAUAUGUAAGAUAUAAUAGGACUAAAAUUUUUAACCCGAUUUAAGUAUUUUGAAUGAUGGCCAGAUACAAAAGGUUAAAAUAAUUAAGCGUGCUAGGAGGGGGCGUCACAAUUAACCCUCUUAGAUUUUACAGACUCAUUCCAGAUUUUUUUUUUUUAAUUAACUAAAUAUUCUUUUCUUUUCUCUCUUCCUCUAUCCCAUCACUCUCAUCUGACAUCUCCGUCAUUCAAAUUUUUAACCGUAAAAUUUGACGGGAUAAAA